This is a small nuclear RNA of Microtus ochrogaster (prairie vole), 156 nucleotides long. Its record names the gene U1. It matches the Rfam family "U1 spliceosomal RNA". Rfam says of the family: U1 is a small nuclear RNA (snRNA) component of the spliceosome (involved in pre-mRNA splicing). NCBI's taxonomy places the organism in Eukaryota, Metazoa, Chordata, Mammalia, Rodentia, Cricetidae. The record is from Ensembl.
AUACUGCCUGGCAGGCCAGAUACGAUCAUGCAAGUUUUGGUUUUUGUACAAGGAAAGCUUAUCUAUUGUAUUUCAGAUAUGCUAACCCUUUGUAACUUCCCCAAAUGCGGGAAACUCAACUGCAUCAUUUGUGGAAGCGGGGGACUGUGUUCCUGC